GCCGGCGUAGCUCAGGUGGUAGAGCAGCUGAUUCGUAAUCAGCAGGUCAGCGGUUCGACUCCGCUCGUCGGCUCCA
RNAcentral lists this transfer RNA (76 nucleotides) under Pseudomonadota bacterium. Its description in RNAcentral is "Proteobacteria bacterium (cold seep metagenome) tRNA-Thr". It matches the Rfam family "tRNA". From Rfam's summary of the family: Transfer RNA (tRNA) molecules are approximately 80 nucleotides in length. Their secondary structure includes four short double-helical elements and three loops (D, anti-codon, and T loops). Lineage: Bacteria; Pseudomonadati; Pseudomonadota. The record is from RNAcentral.